AUUCUGAUAGUUUAGUUGGUAGAACGCUAUAACCACGGAUCUAGAAGUUUUGGUUCGACUCCGAAUUAUAAUU
This is a non-coding RNA of Ceratobasidium sp. 392, 73 nucleotides long. The record is from the annotation of a GenBank genome assembly. NCBI's taxonomy places the organism in Eukaryota, Fungi, Basidiomycota, Agaricomycetes, Cantharellales, Ceratobasidiaceae.